AAACAGGAUUAGAUACCCGGGUAGUCCACGCCGUAAACGAUGGACACUCGUCCUUUGGUGGGAACCAUUCCUCGUGGGGGGCUCAGCUAACGCGGAAGUGUCCCGCCUGGGAACUACGAGCGCAAGCUUAAAACUCAAAGGAAUUGACGGGGGCCCGCACAAGCAGCGGAGCGUGUGGUUUAAUUCGACGCAACGCGCAGAACCUCACCCAGAUUUGACAUGCAGCUGCAAGCUGGUGAAAGCCAGUCGCCUUCGAGGGUGCUGCACAGGUGCUGCAUGGCUGUCGUCAGCUCGUGUUGUGAGAUGUUGGGUUAAGUCCCGCAACGAGCGCAACCCCCGCGGCUAGUUACUCGUGUCUAGCCGGACUGCCCGAUUGGGAGGAAGGUGGGGAUGACGU
RNAcentral lists this ribosomal RNA (397 nucleotides) under Virgibacillus profundi. RNAcentral's name for it is "bacterial SSU rRNA". It matches the Rfam family "Bacterial small subunit ribosomal RNA", at positions 770 to 1185 of the family's 1533-position model. Lineage: Bacteria; Bacillati; Bacillota; Bacilli; Caryophanales; Bacillaceae. The record is from RNAcentral.